GGCUCAGGAUGAACGCUAGCGGCAGGCCUAAUACAUGCAAGUCGAACGAUAUCUUCCAGCUUGCUGGAAGAGAAAGUGGCGCACGGGUGCGUAACGCGUAUGCAACCUACCUUCAUCAGGGGGAUAGCCCGGAGAAAUCCGGAUUAAUACCGCAUAAAAUCACAGGAUGGCAUUAUCCAAUGAUCAAACAUUUAUGGGAUGGAGAUGGGCAUGCGUGUCAUUAGCUAGUUGGCGGGGUAACGGCCCACCAAGGCGACGAUGACUAGGGGAUCUGAGAGGAUGGCCCCCCACACUGGUACUGAGACACGGACCAGACUCCUACGGGAGGCAGCAGUAAGGAAUAUUGGUCAAUGGGGGCAACCCUGAACCAGCCAUGCCGCGUGCAGGAAGACUGCCCUAUGGGUUGUAAACUGCUUUUAUCCGGGAAUAAACCUGCUUACGUGUAAGUAGC
This 451-nucleotide ribosomal RNA is filed under the name Pedobacter terrae. Its description in RNAcentral is "bacterial SSU rRNA". It matches the Rfam family "Bacterial small subunit ribosomal RNA", at positions 21 to 469 of the family's 1533-position model. Lineage: Bacteria; Pseudomonadati; Bacteroidota; Sphingobacteriia; Sphingobacteriales; Sphingobacteriaceae. The record is from RNAcentral.